AACAAGGAUUCCCCUAGUAGCGGCGAGCGAAGCGGGAAGAGCUCAAAUUUGUAAUCUGGCGUCCUCAGGGCGUCCGAGUUGUAAUCUAUAGAAACGUUUUCCGUGCCGGACCGUGUCCAAGUCCCUUGGAACAGGGUAUCAAAGAGGGUGACAAUCCCGUACUUGACACGACGACCGGUGCUCUGUGAUACGUUUUCUACGAGUCGAGUUGUUUGGGAAUGCAGCUCAAAAUGGGUGGUAAAUUCCAUCUAAAGCUAAAUAUAGGCGAGAGACCGAUAGCGAACAAGUACCGUGAGGGAAAGAUGAAAAGCACUUUGGAAAGAGAGUUAAACAGUAUGUGAAAUUGUUGAAAGGGAAACGAUUGAAGUCAGUCAUGUUCAUUGGAUUCAGCUGGUUCUGCCAGUGUAUUUCCUUUGAACGGGUCAACAUCAGUUUGAGCCGGCGGAUAAUGGCAGAGGGAAUGUGGCACCUCCGGGUGUGUUAUAGCCCUUUGUCGCAUACGUCGGCCCAGACUGAGGAAUGCAGCUCGCCUUUAUGGC
RNAcentral lists this ribosomal RNA (539 nucleotides) under Saitozyma flava. Its description in RNAcentral is "partial large subunit ribosomal RNA". It matches the Rfam family "Eukaryotic large subunit ribosomal RNA", at positions 67 to 612 of the family's 3401-position model. The record is from RNAcentral. Lineage: Eukaryota; Fungi; Basidiomycota; Tremellomycetes; Tremellales; Trimorphomycetaceae.